Molecule: ribosomal RNA, 299 nt
Filed under: Phalacrotophora halictorum
Lineage: Eukaryota; Metazoa; Arthropoda; Insecta; Diptera; Phoridae
Description: partial 12S ribosomal RNA
Source: RNAcentral
AAAUUUGGCGGUAUUUUAGUCUGUUCAGAGGAACCUGUUUUGUAAUCGAUAUUCCACGAUGUACCUCACUUGAUUUAAUAAAUUAGUAUGUAUACCGUCGUUAUAAAAAAUUUUAUGAGAAAAAUAAUUUUUAAUAUAUUUAAUAAAAUAUUAUAUCAGAUCAAGGUGCAGCUUAUGAUUAAGUAAUAAUGGGUUACAAUAANNNNNNNNNAAUGGAGAUAAAUAUGAAAAAAUUUAUUGAAAGUGGAUUUGAAAGUAAAAUUGUAAAGAUUAAUAAUUUGAUUUUAGCUCUAAAAUAU